This 570-nucleotide ribosomal RNA is filed under the name Nitzschia palea. Its description in RNAcentral is "eukaryotic LSU rRNA". It matches the Rfam family "Eukaryotic large subunit ribosomal RNA", at positions 30 to 672 of the family's 3401-position model. The record is from RNAcentral. Lineage: Eukaryota; Bacillariophyta; Bacillariophyceae; Bacillariales; Bacillariaceae.
GAAUUUAAGCAUAUAAUUAAGCGGAGGAAAAGAAACUAACCAGGAUUCCCUCAGUAAGGGCGACUGAAGCGGGAAGAGCUCAGGAUGUGAAUCUGCGCCUUGGUGCGCCGAAUUGUGGUCUGUCGACGGUGGCAUUACUGGCCGGGCCAAGUCCUUUGGAACAAGGCAGCUGAGAGGGUGAGACUCCCGUCCGCCUGGCUAGGUGAGCCACUAGUCUACGAGUCGAGUUGUUUGGGAUUGCAGCUCCAAGUGGGUGGUAAAUUCCAUCUAAAGCUAAAUAUUGGUGGGAGACCGAUAGCGUACAAGUACCGUGAGGGAAAGAUGCAAAGAACUUUGAAAAGAGAGUUAAAGAGUACCUGAAAUUGCUGAAAGGGAAGCGAAGGAAACCAGUGUCGGCUCAGUCAUAUUUCCCUGUCCGCUUGCGGUUUGGGCGCUGUGUCUGGCCUGUGUUGUCCUUGGUUGGGUCUGCUGGAAGAGCGCGGUGAGAGUUGAUCUCCGUUGCUAGCAGCGGGUCUGACUGAGGAGGACGAAAUGGUUUUCUUUACCCCGUCUUGAAACACGGACCAAGGA